This 253-nucleotide ribosomal RNA is filed under the name uncultured bacterium. RNAcentral's name for it is "partial 16S ribosomal RNA". It matches the Rfam family "Bacterial small subunit ribosomal RNA", at positions 524 to 776 of the family's 1533-position model. The record is from RNAcentral.
UACGUAUGGUGCAAGCGUUAUCCGGAUUUACUGGGUGUAAAGGGAGCGCAGGCGGCACGGCAAGCCUGAUGUGAAAGCCCGCGGCCCAACCGCAGGACUGCAUUGGGAACUACCGGGCUGGAGUGCCGGAGAGGUAGGCGGAAUUCCUAGUGUAGCGGUGAAAUGCGUAGAUAUUAGGAGGAACACCAGUGGCGAAGGCGGCCUACUGGACGGUGACUGACGCUGAGGCUCGAAAGCGUGGGGAGCAAACAGG